Molecule: small nucleolar RNA, 123 nt
Organism: Cercocebus atys (sooty mangabey)
Lineage: Eukaryota; Metazoa; Chordata; Mammalia; Primates; Cercopithecidae
Gene: SNORD22
Rfam family: Small nucleolar RNA SNORD22
About the family: U22 is a member of the C/D class of snoRNA which contain the C (UGAUGA) and D (CUGA) box motifs.
Source: Ensembl
UUACAGGCAUGCACCACCAUACCUGGCCGAUAUAUAUUUUCCCGGAGCCUGUAAAGGUGAACCCACUGGGACUGGCUGGGGAAAAAGAGGAAGAUUUGUUCCAGAAGGAACUGUCUGAGGGAU